This 253-nucleotide ribosomal RNA is filed under the name uncultured bacterium. Its description in RNAcentral is "partial 16S ribosomal RNA". It matches the Rfam family "Bacterial small subunit ribosomal RNA", at positions 524 to 776 of the family's 1533-position model. The record is from RNAcentral.
UACGGAGGGGGCAAGCGUUGUUCGGAAUCAUUGGGCGUAAAGAGUAUGUAGGCGGCUAUUUAAGUCAGGCGUGCAAGCCCACGGCUCAACCGUGGGAUUGCGUUUGAAACUAUUUAGCUUGAGUGCAGGAGAGGAAAGCGGAAUUCCCAGUGUAGCGGUGAAAUGCAUUGAUAUUGGGAAGAACAUCUGUGGCGAAGGCGGCUUUCUGGUCUGUUACUGACGCUGAGAUACGAAAGCCAGGGUAGCGAACGGG